CUCCAUAUAAACAUUUACAAGCGGGCUAUCCUGGUUGCCAGGAUGAAAGUUCAAAGAUACCGCCGCAAGCUAUUUUUAACAACUGUCAAAACAAUACAAUGUAACAAAAUUGUCCUGGCAAGUGGGAUGAAAGUUUCUCAUAUAAACACAAGAGAAAUUCAUCCCGCUUACCGGGCUGUCUUGCUAAGCGUGCCAUUCCGGCUUCCAUAUAAACAGGCCAUUAAUUGACAUAUGUUCCUCAACUAAUUCAGAAGAAUCCAAAUUUUCCACAUAUACAAUCUCACUAACAUUUCUCAUUUUCGGUACACAGAACACAAGUUGGGGAUAACUUUUCAUCAGUCGUUGCUUGAGUUUAAAAGCUCUAUAUUUAGAUGCAUCCACAUUCUCAGUGUCCUUAGCAAUAAUAACAAAUUUCUCCAGCAAAUCUUUCAUAUACUUUAUUUGCUUAUUUCUGAUGACCUCCAUCUCAAUUACUUUCUUACAGAAAUAUACAUCAUAAGACUUCUCGUACACUGAUGCUCUUGUUGCUUCUUCGUCUCUCUGGUGAGAAAUAUUGUAUAAUUGCAGUAGCAAACUUUGUGAUAGCGGAUUUCCAGAGCUACACAGUUUUUCCCCUGGAUUUGCAUGAGUAUCUGUUGAUCAUUCUUUCUCUCGGCAGCUGUACGUAGAAGACCAGCAUCAAUUGUUUUUGCCAACAUGAGUGGGGUUCUUCUUCUCUUCAGACUCUUCUUAGUUACCUGGUGUGAAACAAACCAUACCUUGUCCAGUGAGAACCACGAGGCGUCUCUUCCACAAAUAUAACAUAUCUCUGGGAGUACAUGCGCGUUUCUUUUAGGCAAGGCCUUUAUAUUUAUAGCUUCUGCGACUGAUUGACGUGUAAUUUUUCGCCUUGGUUCUAUUGCCUCCACUUCCACGUGUGAUUCUUCGGUAGAAGUUAUAGUUUUAGAGCUAGUUCCUUCUCUUUUUUCUUCUUUUCUCUGUUAUCUACGGAUCUUCGGUUCAUCGCAAAAUCUCUUCUAGCAUUUCAUAUGAUGGUUCCAUUCUAAGUUAAUGGUGUCAGAGUUCUUCUCGAUGCAUGAAUUGACAGAUCCGUCAUCGAUGUUCUCGUACGAUUUCUUAGCUAUUUCAGCUUGUUGACACUUAAGUUUGGCCCAUUUUGACCUACACUCAAGAAAUUUCUUAAGCCUUUGGCGUGUAACUUUGCGAAGUUGCUCCGUAACGCCAUCAAAAUGCAUAAAACAUGAGGAUAUUCGAGUUUUAUAAAUAUCUUCAGCCAUGUUUAUUUGCAUAACUGAGCGUGUUUCCACUUCGAAGCAUGUGCGUUGGUUGUGCGCGUGCGCAGUGCGAGUUUGGCUGAGUUGCGCAUGCGUAUUUGCUAUCAAAACAAUGGCGGUUCGAAUAUUUCGAAGCGCGAAAAUAUAAACUUUGGAGGGACUUUUCUCCCAAUUGUGCACCUGUUUCGCUUGGGGAGCAACGGAUUCUGAUAAAGUAAGUUUUUAUCUAUUUAUUCAUGUGAAAAUUGCGUAGUUCCACGAGGGGUGCAACGGAAUCCGUUUUCUAAGCAUCUUUUGGAUGCUCAUCCCACGGCCUACAAAACUACAAUGCAGUUCCUAAACGGGAAAAUAGCGAACGGGCAUUAAUAACCCAUGUGAGGCUACCUCCCGCUUUAAUUUCAGUCGACAUUUACAAAUUUACAUAAAUUUAAAAUCGUUGAAAGCACGUUUACACGCAUUCACGCCAAAGUGAUAUAGGACCUAUGUUAAAAUAAUUAUUAAUAAGCCAGAUAAAACGUCAUUUGGUGACAUCAAUCAUAAAAAC
This is a non-coding RNA of Paramuricea clavata, 1818 nucleotides long. The record is from the annotation of a GenBank genome assembly. Lineage: Eukaryota; Metazoa; Cnidaria; Anthozoa; Malacalcyonacea; Plexauridae.